AAUUCAUAUCAGAUAAACAAGGAUUGAUCCAAUGAAAAGGUUGUUUAACCACAAUCUAAAAACAAGGAUUGUAGAUACAAAUAAAUUUUUUUUGACAAAAAAAAAAUCUAUUAUAAAAUUACUAAAAAAAAUAGCUCAUUACCAAUUUUUACUCCACUUCCAUUCUUUCCCCCACUACAUUUUUGUUUCCCCCCAAUAUUUUCUUCACUUUCAUUCUUCCCCCCACCCCCACUAAAAUAAAAUAAUUAUAAU
Molecule: long non-coding RNA, 252 nt
Filed under: Trifolium pratense (red clover)
Lineage: Eukaryota; Viridiplantae; Streptophyta; Magnoliopsida; Fabales; Fabaceae
Description: long non-coding RNA (TPRA_LNC009305)
Source: RNAcentral